Molecule: microRNA precursor, 133 nt
Filed under: Podarcis lilfordi (Lilford's wall lizard)
Lineage: Eukaryota; Metazoa; Chordata; Lepidosauria; Squamata; Lacertidae
Source: RNAcentral
AAUUAAGUUUGUUCCUGGUAUGAGCUUUCGUGUGCAUGCACACUUCUUCAGAUACCAUAUCUGAUAUCUUCUGCAGAUAUCUGAAGAAGUGUGCAUGCACACGAAAGCUCAUACCAGGAACAAACUUAGUUGG